RNAcentral lists this ribosomal RNA (406 nucleotides) under uncultured bacterium. RNAcentral's name for it is "bacterial SSU rRNA". It matches the Rfam family "Bacterial small subunit ribosomal RNA", at positions 29 to 426 of the family's 1533-position model. The record is from RNAcentral.
AACGAACGCUGGCGGCGCGCCUAACACAUGCAAGUCGAACGAGAAGGCGUAGCAAUACGCUUGUAAAGUGGCGAACGGGUGAGGAAUACAUGGGUAACCUACCCUCGAGUGGGGAAUAACUAGCCGAAAGGUUAGCUAAUACCGCGUACGCUCCUUGGACUUCGGUUCAGGGAGGAAAGCGAUACCGUGGGUAUCGCGCUCUUGGAUGGGCUCAUGUCCUAUCAGCUUGNGGUGAGGUAACGGCUCACCAAGGCUUCGACGGGUAGCUGGUCUGAGAGGACGAUCAGCCACACUGGCACUGCGACACGGGCCAGACUCCUACGGGAGGCAGCAGUAAGGAAUAUUGCGCAAUGGGCGAAAGCCUGACGCAGCGACGCCGCGUGGGGGAUGAAGGUCUUCGGAUUGU